RNAcentral lists this ribosomal RNA (465 nucleotides) under Vreelandella stevensii. RNAcentral's name for it is "partial 16S ribosomal RNA". It matches the Rfam family "Bacterial small subunit ribosomal RNA", at positions 338 to 795 of the family's 1533-position model. Lineage: Bacteria; Pseudomonadati; Pseudomonadota; Gammaproteobacteria; Oceanospirillales; Halomonadaceae. The record is from RNAcentral.
CCUACGGGUGGCAGCAGUGGGGAAUAUUGGACAAUGGGCGAAAGCCUGAUCCAGCCAUGCCGCGUGUGUGAAGAAGGCCUUCGGGUUGUAAAGCACUUUCAGUGGGGAAGAAAGCCUUGGGGCUAAUACCCUCGAGGAAGGACAUCACCCACAGAAGAAGCACCGGCUAACUCCGUGCCAGCAGCCGCGGUAAUACGGAGGGUGCGAGCGUUAAUCGGAAUUACUGGGCGUAAAGCGCGCGUAGGCGGUCUGAUAAGCCGGUUGUGAAAGCCCCGGGCUCAACCUGGGAACGGCAUCCGGAACUGUCAGGCUAGAGUGCAGGAGAGGAAGGUAGAAUUCCCGGUGUAGCGGUGAAAUGCGUAGAGAUCGGGAGGAAUACCAGUGGCGAAGGCGGCCUUCUGGACUGACACUGACGCUGAGGUGCGAAAGCGUUGGUAGCAAACAGGAUUAGAUACCCUGGUAGUC